RNAcentral lists this ribosomal RNA (738 nucleotides) under Franconibacter sp. I14. RNAcentral's name for it is "bacterial SSU rRNA". It matches the Rfam family "Bacterial small subunit ribosomal RNA", at positions 57 to 784 of the family's 1533-position model. Lineage: Bacteria; Pseudomonadati; Pseudomonadota; Gammaproteobacteria; Enterobacterales; Enterobacteriaceae. The record is from RNAcentral.
GCAAGUCGAACGGUAACAGGAAGCAGCUUGCUGCUUCGCUGACGAGUGGCGGACGGGUGAGUAAUGUCUGGGAAACUGCCUGAUGGAGGGGGAUAACUACUGGAAACGGUAGCUAAUACCGCAUAACGUCGCAAGACCAAAGUGGGGGACCUUCGGGCCUCAUGCCAUCAGAUGUGCCCAGAUGGGAUUAGCUAGUUGGUGGGGUAACGGCUCACCAAGGCGACGAUCCCUAGCUGGUCUGAGAGGAUGACCAGCCACACUGGAACUGAGACACGGUCCAGACUCCUACGGGAGGCAGCAGUGGGGAAUAUUGCACAAUGGGCGCAAGCCUGAUGCAGCCAUGCCGCGUGUAUGAAGAAGGCCUUCGGGUUGUAAAGUACUUUCAGUGAGGAGGAAGGCAUGAUGCUUAAUACGCAUCGUGAUUGACGUUACUCACAGAAGAAGCACCGGCUAACUCCGUGCCAGCAGCCGCGGUAAUACGGAGGGUGCAAGCGUUAAUCGGAAUUACUGGGCGUAAAGCGCACGCAGGCGGUCUGUUAAGUCAAAUGUGAAAUCCCCGGGCUCAACCCGGGAACUGCAUUUGAAACUGGCAGGCUUGAGUCUCGUAAAGGGGGGUAAAAUUCCAGGUGUAGCGGUGAAAUGCGUAAAGAUCUGGAGGAAUACCGGUGGCGAAGGCGGCCCCCUGGACAAAAACUGACGCUCAGGUGCGAAAGCGUGGGGAGCAAACAGGAUUAGAUA